This 550-nucleotide ribosomal RNA is filed under the name uncultured archaeon. Its description in RNAcentral is "partial 16S ribosomal RNA". The record is from RNAcentral.
GUGCUCCCCCGCCAAUUCCUUUAAGUUUCAGCCUUGCGACCGUACUUCCCAGGCGGCACGUUUCACGAUUUCUCUUCGGCACCUCGGUGACUCGUGGUCACCGAUACACCUAACGUGCAUCGUUUACAGCUGGGACUACCCGGGUAUCUAAUCCGGUUUGCUCCCCCAGCUUUCGUUCCUCACUGUCGGAGCCGUCCUGGUGAGACGCCUUCGCCACAGGUGGUCCCUCAAGGAUUACAGGAUUUCACUCCUACCCCUGAAGUACCUCUCACCUCUUCCGGUCCCUAGUCUGCCAGUAUCCCUGAGACGCCUUCCGGUUAAGCCGGAAGAUUUCCCCAGAGACUUAACAGACCAGCUACGAACGCUUUAAGCCCAGUAAUAGUGGCCACCACUCGAGCCGCCGGUAUUACCGCGGCGGCUGGCACCGGUCUUGCCCGGCCCUUUCUUCACCAGUUAUUUACACUGGCGGACAGCCUGAUUUUACAGGCACUCGGAGUUCCCUUAUCACGAUUGCUCGCAUUGUAAAGUUUUCGCGCCUGCUGCACCCCGU